ACGUAGGAGGCAAGCGUUGUCCGGAUUUAUUGGGCGUAAAGCGAGCGCAGGCGGACUAAUAAGUCUGAUGUGAAAGCCUUCGGCUUAACCGGAGAAUUGCAUCAGAAACUGUUGAACUUGAGUGCAGAAGAGGAAAGUGGAACUCCAUGUGUAGCGGUGGAAUGCGUAGAUAUAUGGAAGAACACCAAUGGCGAAGGCAGCUCUCUGGUCUGCAACUGACGCUGAGGCUCGAAAGCGUGGGUAGCGAACAG
Molecule: ribosomal RNA, 251 nt
Filed under: uncultured prokaryote
Description: partial 16S rRNA
Rfam family: Bacterial small subunit ribosomal RNA
Source: RNAcentral